UUAAAAGGAAAAAAAACCAAAAGAAUAUGUUUACCCUCAACCUACUGGAGAAUGUUAGUCCCGCAGAAACCCACAGAGGCAACUCUCCACCGCUGCUACGCAUCUGCACCAUCUGCACCAUCUGCACCACCGAUACUCAUCUGCCCACCGCUGCUUCUGACUGCUUGCCAACCUCCGGUGGGCAAAAACUUCCAAAUCUGAGGUGAAGUUGAUGAUGGUUGAUUGCGGCUAACCCUAGAAAUUCUUGGGUAAUUUCUUUGUAUUCUGUUCAUCACUUCUAAAUUUUGUCAAGAAAUUCGAUUACUUGUUUAGUUUAUUAUUUUUCUUUGUCCUGGGGUGAAUUUGUUUCCCCAUUCGUAUCAUGUUCUUAGUCCAGGGUUUGUUCAAUUAGACAUUUUUUUGGGGUUUUAGGGUUUAUAUUUAAUUGGUUUUUUGAAUUUAGAGGAUCAAUUAUGACUUUAUUGAAGUUUCAAAAUUUUAAUUUUGAAUACUAUUUUUUCUCUUUUUUAAUGGCAUUAAAUAUCAGAUUGAAUUACAGAGUGUUUUGCAUCAACUCUUCUUCAUCUCCUUUUGUGCCUUGAAGUCUCAUAGUUGUUUGGAUGGUAUAGAAGAUUAGUUAUAAGGAUUUGGUCUGCUUUUUUUAUCCCUUCCUUUCCUAUGGGUGUAAACCAUGAGUCUCAAAGUUAAUAAGUCAUAGAACAAAAUCAUAGACCAAAAUAAUUAAGCUAGUAAUUCAAGUGGCCUGACCUCAAACCAAGUUACACUUUGUAAUUAAUUUAGACCUUCAAUAACUGAAUGUUAUUUCUCUUUUGUUGUCACCUUUCAGUCAGUUUCAUCUUAUAGCAGGCCUCUUGAUUAAAGUUAAUACUCUUGGAUAGUGAUUUUAUAUUGACUACAGAAUCAUUUGAUUUAGUUUUUUGUGCUGGGAGAUAUACACUUCUCUAUAAGUUGGAGAUGCUAUUGUUGACGAGCUGAUGUGUUUUGUUCUCUUUGAUUUCCCGUUCUUUGUUUCUUGGAUGAUGUUCCUAUGAUUGUAUGUAUGUUUAGGAUAUAUUAUAACUUCAUUCUGCCUAAAAUAAGCCUAGAUUUGAAUAAUCUAUUACAAGUUUGGAAAAAUCUUUGCUUAUUUGGAUUUAUUCGGGGUAUUCUGAGAAUUGAUCUAGCUAAGGACCUCUGUACCCAAGGCGAGAAAGCCGAGAAUCAUACCUCGGCUAAAUGUAAUAUUUUUUCUGCUUAUAGGCACUGAAAUCUUGAUCAUUUGUUAUUGGAUAUUCCUGGACAUACUCGCAGUACUUGGUUUAUUAUGUUGCUAGAUACAGUGGAUGGACUCCAAAAUUCUUGCUCUGUUGUUACCUCUAAGUUGACAGGGCAUGCGUUAAUGUGCACUGACACUUGGUGCCACGUGGGCACUGGCCAGUGUGCCCACUCACCUGUUAGAUUUCCUAAUUGUCAUCAUAAGCCCAUUCAGGUUAGUAUUAUUAGACGAUCGGGCGGAUUCGGAGUUUGCUCAUCAUAAGCCCAUUCAGGUUAGUUGCCUUAGCUGUCUGUUAUUUAUUGAAAGGAAAUUCUAAUUGUUAUUUGUUACUGGGAAAAACACUUUGGCCGUGCCCUACUUCCCAUGUCGAUAAUAUGUGAUGACUGAUGAGGAUAUUGUUACAAAAUAACCAAGUAUUAAAUAUUCAAAUCAACAAAACUGAACAAUAUUCAGAUCAACCUUUCAUAUGUUUAUGAUCUAUACUUUCUUGUGUAAGUUAAUGAUGUUUACUUUGAAAUUACCAAGUACUGCUAUUGAUGAAAAAUCUUUCGGCCCAUUUUCUUAGCCCUGAAUUUGAGGAAUAUGUAAAUGCAUUUUGUCAAACAUUAGUUAAUUUUCAUUGUGGUACUAUAUCGCCUGUAUGGCAUGGUCUUUGCAAUUUCAGUUCUGGUGAUGUUGUCAGCCUACAUUGCACAUGAAUUAUCUAGUAUUUACAUGAUCCAAACUAAUACUUUGCUAUUAAAAUCUUAAAUGACUUACUUCGUUUUUGUGUGCUUUUUUUUGAAACAGAACCUUGGUGGCUUUUAUGUUCCAUUGAUGACAAGCUUGGCUGUGAUGUAUUACAAAUUUCAGGGAAUUGCAGAGUGCAAGAUGAAGUUCCUCCAAUGGCGCGAACACUAACUUUUUGCUGCUCCUACUGAUGUGCAUGCUCAUUCAAGAACACCACAAGCUGCAUUUUUUUCUUGAUUAAUGAACCUGUACGAAGAAUAGAGUAAAUGCAUAGGAUUAAUUGGAAAACGUACGUUAUUUUUUAAUAUAUUUAAUGCUUGUUUAUGCAAAAAAAAAUUAUAUAUUUUUUUUAAAAAAAAGGGUGGAAUAGAGGACGGUUA
Spinacia oleracea (spinach) is the source of this 2364-nucleotide long non-coding RNA. RefSeq lists it as uncharacterized. Lineage: Eukaryota; Viridiplantae; Streptophyta; Magnoliopsida; Caryophyllales; Amaranthaceae. The record is from RefSeq and is a predicted model, not a curated record. The transcript has 3 exons.